CCUACGGGGGGCUGCAGUGGGGAAUAUUGGACAAUGGGCGAAAGCCUGAUCCAGCCAUGCCGCGUGUGUGAAGAAGGCCUUCGGGUUGUAAAGCACUUUCAGUGGGGAAGAAAGCCUUGGGGCUAAUACCCUCGAGGAAGGACAUCACCCACAGAAGAAGCACCGGCUAACUCCGUGCCAGCAGCCGCGGUAAUACGGAGGGUGCGAGCGUUAAUCGGAAUUACUGGGCGUAAAGCGCGUGUAGGCGGUCUGAUAAGCCGGUUGUGAAAGCCCCGGGCUCAACCUGGGAACGGCAUCCGGAACUGUCAGGCUAGAGUGCAGGAGAGGAAGGUAGAAUUCCCGGUGUAGCGGUGAAAUGCGUAGAGAUCGGGAGGAAUACCAGUGGCGAAGGCGGCCUUCUGGACUGACACUGACGCUGAGGUGCGAAAGCGUGGGUAGCAAACAGGAUUAGAUACCCCAGUAGUC
This 465-nucleotide ribosomal RNA is filed under the name Vreelandella stevensii. RNAcentral describes it as "partial 16S ribosomal RNA". It matches the Rfam family "Bacterial small subunit ribosomal RNA", at positions 338 to 795 of the family's 1533-position model. Lineage: Bacteria; Pseudomonadati; Pseudomonadota; Gammaproteobacteria; Oceanospirillales; Halomonadaceae. The record is from RNAcentral.